RNAcentral lists this ribosomal RNA (354 nucleotides) under uncultured bacterium. Its description in RNAcentral is "bacterial SSU rRNA". It matches the Rfam family "Bacterial small subunit ribosomal RNA", at positions 8 to 350 of the family's 1533-position model. The record is from RNAcentral.
AGAGUUUGAUCCUGGCUCAGGAUGAACGCUAGCUACAGGCUUAACACAUGCAAGUCGAGGGGAAACGAUAUUGAAAGCUUGCUUCCGAUAGGCGUCGACCGGCGCACGGGUGAGUAACGCGUAUCCAACCUGCCCACCACUUGGGGAUAACCUUGCGAAAGUAAGACUAAUACCCAAUGAUAUCUCUAGAAGACAUCUGAAAGAGAUUAAAGAUUUAUCGGUGAUGGAUGGGGAUGCGUCUGAUUAGCUUGUUGGCGGGGUAACGGCCCACCAAGGCGACGAUCAGUAGGGGUUCUGAGAGGAACGGUCCCCCANAUUGGAACUGAGACACGGUCCAAACUCCUACGGGAGGCA